This 29-nucleotide non-coding RNA is filed under the name Mus musculus (house mouse). Lineage: Eukaryota; Metazoa; Chordata; Mammalia; Rodentia; Muridae. The record is from RNAcentral.
UGACAUCUUGUCUGGUCCCAUGAUUUUGA